UAAAAUGUUAGAGUUUUUAUGUGACUUGCUGUUGUCCUUUCUUUUUAGCUUGGAACAUAGAGAUGGAGACUUUUUCUGCCUGAGCCCCUGUGUGAUGACAUCCUAGGCUGACAUCUUUCCCCUACCUACCCUGCCACCACCAGCGGACAUGGGUGGAUUGUAUGAAAAGAUAUUAGAAACACAGAAAUACAGCAUCACUGUGAGGAAAUUCUUGACUUGUGAGAUCAUGAAGUCAAGUGGGACUUUCAACCUAGGAAGAAGAGGUAUUUGAGGUAAGAGUUGUUUAAUAAGAGUACAUAAUUUGGUAAACUACAAUCAGUUAAAGAGCAGGAACCAUAUUUCAACAUUAUUCAGCUUUCAGAUUAUGUGUGUCAGUUUGUACAUAGUAGGAAAUCAAUAAAUGUUGCAUUCAGCAAAAACCUAAAAAAGUCUUAGAUUGCAGGAAAUAAUUAUUUAAGAAGAAAUUGCCAACUAGUGGUUUUUCAUGGGAGAAUCAGUGGAUCUUGAAAUUUGGAUAUCACUUUGACUAGUUUGCUUUACAUUUCUCACUGAGCUCUCUUCCUAUAAUAUUUUAUGCUUUAGCAUAUUCUUUGUUUUUAUUCUUGAUAUACAAAUAUGGCUACCUUCUGGUCUUUGAAAGAGUUAAUAAAUUCGCCCAGAAUUUGCCCAUAAGGCAAUGAAAAAUAUAUUGACAUAGUUAAUCAAAGAUGUACACACGUUUAACUUAUCCUGAAAAUAUCUUCUUAUUGAUUGUAAUUUGUGGAGAAUUUUUACACCUUUCCCAAAAGUAGCUUUUCAAAUUGUAUGAAAACUAAGUAGAAUCUGAGAUUUUCUAAGUCUGUUAGCUUUUUUUUUUUUUUUUUUAGCUAUCAAAAAGCAUGUAAAGGAACAAAGAUUAGGCUAUUAAAAUUCAAUCUUUAUUUCUAAAUUAAAAUUAUUUCAACAAUGUGAUUUUUGGGGGCUAAUCUGUGAGCUCCAAAAAACAUUAUGCUUUUUUUGGUAGCCUUUUCAAUCAACU
Molecule: long non-coding RNA, 1018 nt
Filed under: Canis lupus familiaris (dog)
Lineage: Eukaryota; Metazoa; Chordata; Mammalia; Carnivora; Canidae
Description: lncRNA (ENSCAFG00030017163.1)
Source: RNAcentral